CAUGUCUCACUGCAUGGACUGACAUUUAUUUCAAAUUUAGAACUAAAACGUUGGUGAUUGGAAGGAGGUGCCCCACUGCCGUUCUUGACUGGCUCACCUGUAGGGAUCUGCCCAGGAGCUGCAAUGCUUGCACAGAUAAAUACAUAGUUUUAGGAUGGCAAUAAAAACAGAAGCUGAAGGACAACUGCUCAC
Bombina bombina (fire-bellied toad) is the source of this 192-nucleotide long non-coding RNA. RefSeq lists it as uncharacterized. The transcript is spliced from 3 exons. Lineage: Eukaryota; Metazoa; Chordata; Amphibia; Anura; Bombinatoridae. The record is from RefSeq and is a predicted model, not a curated record.